GACGAACGCUGGCGGCGUGCUUAACACAUGCAAGUCGAACGGAAAGGCCCUGCUUUUGUGGGGUGCUCGAGUGGCGAACGGGUGAGUAACACGUGAGUAACCUGCCCUUGACUUUGGGAUAACUUCAGGAAACUGGGGCUAAUACCGGAUCGGAGCUCCUGCUGCAUGGUGGGGGUUGGAAAGUUUCGGCGGUUGAGGCUGGACUCGCGGCUUAUCAGCUUGUUGGUGGGGUAGUGGCUUACCAAGGCUUUGACGGGUAGCCGGCCUGAGAGGGUGACCGGCCACAUUGGGACUGAGAUACGGCCCAGACUCCUACGGGAGGCAGCAGUGGGGAAUAUUGCACAAUGGGCGGAAGCCUGAUGCAGCAACGCCGCGUGCGGGAUGACGGCCUUCGGGUAGUAAACCGCUUUCGCCUGUGACGAAGCGUGAGUGACGGUAAUGGAUAAAGAAGCACCGGCUAACUACGUG
Molecule: ribosomal RNA, 468 nt
Filed under: uncultured bacterium
Lineage: Bacteria
Description: partial 16S ribosomal RNA
Rfam family: Bacterial small subunit ribosomal RNA
Source: RNAcentral